AUUCUGUAUUGCUAGCAAUAUUGCCCAUGGAGACUGCACAUCGCUAAUGUUUAGCAAUUGACGUCUGAAUAUAUUUCAUGCUAUACAUUGCUAGCAAUGAACUGUAAUUUGGUGGUUUGACAGAGCUGUUUUCAUUUCCACAGAAAUUUUGAAAAACAUGCACAUUAUGCAUGUACGGUCGCAUGAUGCCAGCAAAGAUGGAAUGCCAAUGUUUUAUGUUUUGUUGCGAAAAAAGUAAGUUUCUCCUCACGAACCCAGAUAACUCCUCAAGAACCCCCGAGUUCGAAGAGACAGAAUACGAAUCAGCCACAUCGAUCGGAGCACAACGCUCCGCUCCAAAUCGCACCCUGGGUGUUGGGGGCUGAAAGUUGCACCCCUACAGAGCAGAGAUUGAAGGUGCUUUUAACAAUGCGUCUCACGCAAGCGGGAUUAAGCAUUGAAGAAAAGAAAUGUGGAAGCUCCUAUAUGCAGAUGGAUAGAGGCUGUACUGCUUACCAGGAUUGCUGAAGCCACAGUGGGGGAGAGCAAGAUACGUCUUGGUACUACGAGACGUUGCCCUCAGGGCGGGGGACACUCUUCUAUGGAGUCUCGUAAUAUAUGAACUCCUUGAGCUGCUUACGAGCAAUGGAAAUCGGUGUGCGUAAGGC
This is a non-coding RNA of Bactrocera oleae (olive fruit fly), 647 nucleotides long. The record is from RefSeq and is a predicted model, not a curated record. NCBI's taxonomy places the organism in Eukaryota, Metazoa, Arthropoda, Insecta, Diptera, Tephritidae.